CACGCAGGCGGUCGCGCGCGUGGGGUGUGAAAUCUGGCCGCUUAACGGCCAGGCGCCAUCCCAUACGGCGCGACUGGAGGGCUGCAGAGGUCGAUGGAAUUGCCGGCGUAGUGGUGAAAUGCGUAGAGAUCGGCAGGAACACCCAGGGGGAAACCAGUCGACUGGGCAGCACCUGACGCUGAGGUGCGAGAGGCUGGGGAGCGAACC
This 207-nucleotide ribosomal RNA is filed under the name uncultured bacterium. RNAcentral's name for it is "partial 16S ribosomal RNA". It matches the Rfam family "Bacterial small subunit ribosomal RNA", at positions 568 to 774 of the family's 1533-position model. The record is from RNAcentral.